GUGCUUGCUUUGGCAGCACAUAUACUUAAAUUGGAUCGAUAUACAGAAGAUCAGCACGGCCCCUGUGCAAGGAUGACACACAAACUCGUGAAACAUUCCAUAUUUAA
Molecule: small nuclear RNA, 107 nt
Filed under: Castor canadensis (American beaver)
Lineage: Eukaryota; Metazoa; Chordata; Mammalia; Rodentia; Castoridae
Source: RNAcentral